AGAGUUUGAUCCUGGCUCAGGAUGAACGCUAGCGACAGGCUUAACACAUGCAAGUCGAGGGGCAGCGGGGGCGUAGCAAUAUGCCUGCCGGCGACCGGCGCACGGGUGAGUAACACGUAUGUAACCUGCCCUAUGCAGGGGGAUAACCCGGAGAAAUCCGGCCUAAUACCGCGUAACACCUUAGGGGAGCAUUCUCUUGAGGUUAAAGGAGAGAUCCGGCAUAGGAUGGACAUGCGUCGCAUUAGGUAGACGGCGGGGUAACGGCCCACCGUGCCGACGAUGCGUAGGGGUUCUGAGAGGAAGGCCCCCCACACUGGUACUGAGACACGGACCAGACUCCUACGGGAGGCAGCAGUGAGGAAUAUUGGUCAAUGGCCGAGAGGCUGAACCAGCCAAGUCGCGUGAGGGAAGAAUGUCCUAAGGAUUGUAAACCUCUUUUGUCGGGGAGCAAAAAGGCUCUGCGGAGUCGUAUUGAGAGUACCCGAAGAAAAAGCAUCGGCUAACUCCGUGCCAGCAGCCGCGGUAAUACGGAGGGUGCGAGCGUUAUCCGGAUUUAUUGGGUUUAAAGGGUGCGCAGGCGGCGUGUCAAGCAAGCGGUAAAAUAGCGGGGCUCAACCCCGUCGAGCCGUUUGAACUGGCGCGCUUGAGUUCAGGCGAGGUAGGCGGAAUUCCGUGGUGUAGCGGUGAAAUGCAUAGAUAUCACGAAGAACUCCGAUUGCAAAGGGAGCUUACCAGUCUGUGACUGACGCUCAGGCACGAAAGUGUGGGUAUCGAACAGGAUUAGAUACCCUGGUAGUCCACACAGUAAACGAUGAGCGCUAGGUGUCCGGGUCGCAUGAGACUUGGGUGCCCGAGCGAAAGCGUUAAGCGCUCCACCUGGGGAGUACGCCGGCAACGGUGAAACUCAAAGGAAUUGACGGGGGCCCGCACAAGCGGAGGAACAUGUGGUUUAAUUCGAUGAUACGCGAGGAACCUUACCCGGGCUCAAACGACUCAGGAAUAUAUUGGAAACGAUGUAGCCAGCAAUGGUCUGAGUCGAGGUGCUGCAUGGUUGUCGUCAGCUCGUGCCGUGAGGUGUCGGCUUAAGUGCCAUAACGAGCGCAACCCCUACCGCCAGUUGCCAACGGGUAAAGCCGGGAACUCUGGCGGGACUGCCGGCGCAAGCUGUGAGGAAGGCGGGGAUGACGUCAAAUCAGCACGGCCCUUACGUCCGGGGCGACACACGUGUUACAAUGGCAGGUACAGCGGGAAGCCACCUGGUGACAGGGAGCGGAACCCGAAAGCCUGUCUCAGUUCGGAUUGGAGUCUGCAACUCGACUCCAUGAAGCUGGAUUCGCUAGUAAUCGCGCAUCAGCCAUGGCGCGGUGAAUACGUUCCCGGGCCUUGUACACACCGCCCGUCA
RNAcentral lists this ribosomal RNA (1402 nucleotides) under uncultured bacterium. Its description in RNAcentral is "16S ribosomal RNA". It matches the Rfam family "Bacterial small subunit ribosomal RNA". The record is from RNAcentral.